GCUUAGCCCUAAACCUCAACAGUUAAAUCAACAAAACUGCUCGCCAGAACACUACGAGCCACAGCUUAGAACUCAAAGGACCUGGCGGUGCUUCAUAUCCUC
This 102-nucleotide ribosomal RNA is filed under the name Chordata environmental sample. Its description in RNAcentral is "partial 12S ribosomal RNA". The record is from RNAcentral. Lineage: Eukaryota; Metazoa; Chordata.